Molecule: ribosomal RNA, 277 nt
Filed under: uncultured prokaryote
Description: partial 16S ribosomal RNA
Rfam family: Bacterial small subunit ribosomal RNA
Source: RNAcentral
CACGGGGUUGCGAGCGUUGUCCGGAAUUACUAGGUGUAAAGGGCAGGCAGGCGGAUCCAUAAGUUUAUCGUUUAAGGCGUCGGCUUAACCGGCGUAGGGCGGUAGAUACUGUGGAUCUGGAAUGCGGUUGGGGAAGACAGAAUUCCUGGUGUAGCGGUGGAAUGCGCAGAGAUCAGGAGGAAUACCGAAGGCGAAGGCAGUCUUCCAAGCCGUUAUUGACGCUCAACUGCGAAGGUGUGGGUAUCAAACAGGAUUAGAUACCCCGGUAGUCCCUGAG